Molecule: ribosomal RNA, 459 nt
Filed under: uncultured bacterium
Lineage: Bacteria
Description: bacterial SSU rRNA
Rfam family: Bacterial small subunit ribosomal RNA
Source: RNAcentral
AUCCUGGCUCAGAGCGAACGCUAGCGGCGGGCUUAACACAUGCAAGUCGAGCGGAGAGCUUCGGCUCUCAGCGGCGAACGGGUGAGUAACACGUAGGUCACGUACCCUUUGAUGGGGAAUAACCUAGGGAAACCUGGGCUAAUACCGCAUAUGUCCUUCGGGAUGAAAGCCUUCGGGCGUCAGAGGAUCGGCCUGCGGCCCAUUAUUUAAUCCUAGUUGGUAGGGUAAUGGCCUACCAAGGGUACGAUGGGUAGCUGGUCUGAGAGGAUGAUCAGCCACACUGGAACUGAGACACGGUUCAGACUCCUACGGGAGGCAGCAGUGGGGAAUAUUGGACAAUGGGCGAAAGCCUGAUCCAGCCACGCCGCGUGGGUGAUGAAGGCCUUCGGGUUGUAAAGCCCUGUCGGGAGGGACGAAUCAAUGACGGUACCUCCCAAGAAAGCACCGGCUAACUCCGUG